GAUGAACGCUGGCGGCGUGCCUAAUACAUGCAAGUCGAGCGAACAGACGAGGAGCUUGCUCCUCUGACGUUAGCGGCGGACGGGUGAGUAACACGUGGAUAACCUACCUAUAAGACUGGGAUAACUUCGGGAAACCGGAGCUAAUACCGGAUAAUAUAUUGAACCGCAUGGUUCAAUAGUGAAAGACAGUUUUGCUGUCACUUAUAGAUGGAUCCGCGCCGCAUUAGCUAGUUGGUAAGGUAACGGCUUACCAAGGCGACGAUGCGUAGCCGACCUGAGAGGGUGAUCGGCCACACUGGAACUGAGACACGGUCCAGACUCCUACGGGAGGCAGCAGUAGGGAAUCUUCCGCAAUGGGCGAAAGCCUGACGGAGCAACGCCGCGUGAGUGAUGAAGGUCUUCGGAUCGUAAAACUCUGUUAUUAGGGAAGAACAAAUGUGUAAGUAACUAUGCACGUCUUGACGGUACCUAAUCAGAAAGCCACGGCUAACUACGUG
Molecule: ribosomal RNA, 497 nt
Filed under: uncultured bacterium
Lineage: Bacteria
Description: partial 16S ribosomal RNA
Rfam family: Bacterial small subunit ribosomal RNA
Source: RNAcentral